GCCAAACAACUAGCUUAAUUAACAAAAUAAUUUUUCAUUAUAAAUAAAAAAGAUUUAACAAAACAAAUUAACUAAACCAUUCUUAACCCUAGUAUGGGAGACAAAAAGGGCCACACAAAGCAAUAGAAAAAGUACCGCAAGGGAAAGUUGAAAGAGAAAUGAAACAACUCAUAUAAGCCGUAAAAAACAAAGACUAAACCUUGUACCUUUUGCAUCAUGAUUUAGCCAGUCCACCCAAGCAAAGAGACCUUUAGUUUGAAACCCCGAAACCAAGUGAGCUACCCCGAGACAGCCUAUUAAUAUAGGGCUAACCCGUCUCUGUGGCAAAAGAGUGGGAAGAACUCCGGGUAGUGGUGACAAGCCUACCGAACUUGGUGAUAGCUGGUUGUCUAGGAAAUAAAUAUAAGUUUAGCCUCGUACGCCCGCAACCAAAACCGCCAAAAAGACACAGGAAAUACACGAGAGUUAGUUUAAGGAGGUACAGCCCCUUAAACAAAGGACACAACCUUUAAAGGAGAAUAAAGAUCAUAUUACCAAAAAUACUUUGCCAAGUGGGCCUGAAAGCAGCCAUCUAAAUAGAAAGCGUUAAAGCUCAAGCAAACAGAAAUUUAUUAUACCGAUAAACAAUCUUACUUCCCCAAAAAUACUAGACUAUUCUAUGCACCCAUAGAAGAAAUUAUGCUAAAAUGAGUAACAAGAAGAACUUAACCUUCUCCCAGCAUAAGUGUAAGUCAGACCGGACCCACCACUGACAAUUAGCGAACCCAAAUAAAGAGGGUAAUAUGACAAACAUAAUAAACAAGAAAACCCCAUAUUUUACAAUCGUUACCCCUACACAGAGCUCACAAAGGAAAGACUUAAAGAUAAGGAAGGAACUCAGCAAACUCAAGCCUCGCCUGUUUACCAAAAACAUCACCUCCUGCAACCCUCAGCAUAGGAGGCCAAGCCUGCCCAGUGACCACAAGUUUAACGGCCGCGGUAUUUUAACCGUGCAAAGGUAGCGCAAUCACUUGUCCUUUAAAUGGGGACCCGUAUGAAUGGCUAAACGAGGGCUUAACUGUCUCCCUUUUCUAGUCAGUGAAAUUGAUCUAUCCGUGCAGAAGCGGAUAUUUAUACAAGACGAGAAGACCCUUUGGAGCUUUAGGUACAAGACUUAAUCAUGUAAAACAAAUUUUAAUAAACUUUUUAACCUAAUGAACUGUAAGACUUUACCUUCGGUUGGGGCGACCACGGAGAAAAAAACAGCCUCCCAGUGGAAUGGGUAAUACCCAAAACCAAGAUAUACAUAUCCAAGUAACAGAACAUCUGACCAAAUAUGACCCGGUUACAAACCGAUCAACGAACCAAGUUACCCAAGGGAUAACAGCGCAAUCCCCUCCCAGAGCCCGUAUCGACGAGGGGGUUUACGACCUCGAUGUUGGAUCAGGACAUCCUAAUGGUGCAGCCGCUAUUAAGGGUUCGUUUGUUCAACGAUUAAAGUCCUACGUGAUCUGAGUUCAGACCGGAGUAAUCCAGGUCAGUUUCUAUCUGUAACGCCACUUAUCCUAGUACGAAAGGACCGGAAAAGAAGGGCCAACCCAGCAAGUGCGCCCUACCCCAAAUUAAUGAACCAAAAUAAAUUAAAAAAGGGUGGCAUA
Molecule: ribosomal RNA, 1637 nt
Filed under: Rasbora kalbarensis (Kalbar rasbora)
Lineage: Eukaryota; Metazoa; Chordata; Actinopteri; Cypriniformes; Danionidae
Description: 16S ribosomal RNA
Rfam family: Bacterial large subunit ribosomal RNA (bases 92-1553)
Source: RNAcentral